GAUUUGCGUAAGGGAUAGAAGUGGCAUCCUUUUAUGAAGCCAUAGCGGAAAAAAAGAUACAACGCACAGCCCGACCCGCA
This 80-nucleotide small RNA is filed under the name Flavobacterium xueshanense. RNAcentral describes it as "Flavo-1 RNA". Lineage: Bacteria; Pseudomonadati; Bacteroidota; Flavobacteriia; Flavobacteriales; Flavobacteriaceae. The record is from RNAcentral.